This 265-nucleotide ribosomal RNA is filed under the name uncultured bacterium. RNAcentral describes it as "partial 16S ribosomal RNA". It matches the Rfam family "Bacterial small subunit ribosomal RNA", at positions 793 to 1055 of the family's 1533-position model. The record is from RNAcentral.
GUCCACGCCGUAAACGAUGGAUGCUAGUCGUCGCGGGUAUUGACCCCUGCGGCAACGCAGUUAACGCAUUAAGCAUCCCGCCUGGGGAGUACGGCCGCAAGGCUAAAACUCAAAGGAAUUGACGGGGGCCCGCACAAGCGGUGGAGCAUGUGGUUCAAUUCGACGCAACGCGCAGAACCUUACCUGGGUUAAAUCCACCGGAAUCCCGCAGAGAUGUGGGAGUGCCCGCAAGGGAGCCGGUGAGAAGGUGCUGCAUGGCUGUCGU